Molecule: non-coding RNA, 1149 nt
Organism: Oryza sativa Japonica Group (Japanese rice)
Lineage: Eukaryota; Viridiplantae; Streptophyta; Magnoliopsida; Poales; Poaceae
Source: RefSeq, a predicted model, not a curated record
AAAUCUGAGUCCAGAUCUCGUUCCUCCUUUCCCCAAACCCUCGCGCUCGCGGCUCUGAUCCAGCGCUCGCUGACGGCCGCGUCGGCCUCGGCCUCCUCGGUGGCGGCGGCGCCGGGCGUGGGCCGGGUGGAGCCGGCCGUGACGCUCGACCAGGUGCCGUGGUGGAGCGACCCCGACCAGCGCCUCUCCUCCUCCUCUUCCCGCACUGCCACCGGAUUCGUCAAGACUCCCUCCCCCCCCACCGCGUCCUCUUCGGUUUCACCACCACCACCAGCACCACCACCCAGCAGAACAGCGCCUCCACCACCACCAUCGACCUCUCCUCCGACGAGAGCCGCCGUCGCCUCAUCAACAGGCUGCUUUACAGGAGCAAGCAGCGGGGGUUCUUGGAGCUGGCCUCAUACAAGCAGCGAGGACGACGGCAAGCCAGACCUCGGCGUCACCGGCACCGGCGGCGGCUGAUUACUGCUGCUGCUUCACCAUGUCCUCUCUUGCAGCAGCCUGUCUAGAUUUCUUGGCUCAUCUAAACUCUGGAUCUCUGCAUGCUGACGAGGUUAGUAGGUUGCUCAAGUAACUGAGCAUGGAGAUGAAGACCAACAAAGUAUGCUUCAGAGAAAAGCGCUGGUGUCCGGCAGCACGGCUACGCGGCAGGGACAUGCGCGUGGCAAGUGGCGAGGCAGCAGGCAGCAGGCGCGAUGCAGCAGGCGGAAGGCAAGCAGCAGCAGCAGCAUGAUUCUAUGUAUAUCUAUCCUCCCUGAUUCAUAUAUGUGAUUUAUUGCUGAAACUUCAUUACUUGAGGGGUUCCUGAGCAAGCUGAGGCCGGCCCUGCCGCAGUUCAAGCACUUCUUGUCCCUGUCCCUGCCGCAGUUCAAGCACUUCCUAUCCCUGCCACAGUUCAAACACUUCCCACGAGUGGCCAACCAGUUGAUUUGCUGAUUUGCUGUGUUGUAAAUUUUGUGUUGUAUUGGAUGUUUGUCGGGUUGUGUUGGAUGCUAAUUGGGCUGAAACCUUUGUGCUAUAUGGGUUGUUAUUAUGUUUGAUUGUUGGGCCUAUAUGGGUUGUUAUUAUGUUUGAUUGUUGGGCCUAUAUGGGCUUAGCCCACUUGUUAUUUGAUACUAAUAUAAUGAAUAUAAUAUGACGGGCUGAAAA